AGUGAACGCUGGCGGCAGGCCUAACACAUGCAAGUCGAACGGCAGCACAGUAAGAGCUCGCUCUUACGGGUGGCGAGUGGCGGACGGGUGAGGAGUACAUCGGAAUCUACUUUUUCGUGGGGGAUAACGUAGGGAAACUGACGCUAAUACCGCAUACGACCUACGGGUGAAAGCAGGGGAUCUUCGGACCUUGCGCGACUGAAUGAGCCGAUGUCGGACUAGCUAGUUGGCGGGGUAAAGGCCCACCAAGGCGACGAUCCGUAGCUGAUCUGAGAGGAUGAUCGGCCACACUGGAACUGAGACACGGUCCAGACUCCUACGGGAGGCAGCAGUGGGGAAUAUUGGCCAAUGGGCGCAAGCCUGAUCCAGCCAUACCGCGUGGGUGAAGAAGGCCUUCGGGUUGUAAAGCCCUUUUAUUGGGAAAGAAAAGAAGCAGGUUAAAACCCCGAUGUUCUGACGGUACCCAAAGAAUAAGCACCGGCUAACUACGUG
This 492-nucleotide ribosomal RNA is filed under the name uncultured bacterium. RNAcentral describes it as "partial 16S ribosomal RNA". It matches the Rfam family "Bacterial small subunit ribosomal RNA", at positions 29 to 507 of the family's 1533-position model. The record is from RNAcentral.